This 66-nucleotide transfer RNA is filed under the name Ceracris hoffmanni. RNAcentral's name for it is "tRNA-Cys". It matches the Rfam family "tRNA". From Rfam's summary of the family: Transfer RNA (tRNA) molecules are approximately 80 nucleotides in length. Their secondary structure includes four short double-helical elements and three loops (D, anti-codon, and T loops). Further hydrogen bonds mediate the characteristic L-shaped molecular structure. tRNAs have two regions of fundamental functional importance: the anti-codon, which is responsible for specific mRNA codon recognition, and the 3' end, to which the tRNAs corresponding amino acid is attached (by aminoacyl-tRNA synthetases). tRNAs cope with the degeneracy of the genetic code in two manners: having more than one tRNA (with a specific anti-codon) for a particular amino acid; and 'wobble' base-pairing, i.e. permitting non-standard base-pairing at the 3rd anti-codon position. Lineage: Eukaryota; Metazoa; Arthropoda; Insecta; Orthoptera; Acrididae. RNAcentral also lists the same sequence under 1 other name. The record is from RNAcentral.
GGCUUUAUAUUCAAAAAUGAUAUUAGACUGCAAUUCUAAAGGUGUAAGUAAAAUAUACUAAGGCCU